GAUGAACGCUGGCGGCGUGCCUAAUACAUGCAAGUCGAGCGAACAGACGAGGAGCUUGCUCCUCUGACGUUAGCGGCGGACGGGUGAGUAACACGUGGAUAACCUACCUAUAAGACUGGGAUAACUUCGGGAAACCGGAGCUAAUACCGGAUAAUAUAUUGAACCGCAUGGUUCAAUAGUGAAAGACGGUUUUGCUGUCUCUUAUAGAUGGAUCCGCGCCGCAUUAGCUAGUUGGUAAGGUAACGGCUUACCAAGGCAACGAUGCGUAGCCGACCUGAGAGGGUGAUCGGCCACACUGGAACUGAGACACGGUCCAGACUCCUACGGGAGGCAGCAGUAGGGAAUCUUGCGCAAUGGGCGAAAGCCUGACGGAGCAACGCCGCGUGAGUGAUGAAGGUCUUCGGACCGUAAAACUCUGUUAUUAGGGAAGAAAAGAUGUGUAAGUAACUAUGCACGUCUUGACGGUACCUAAACAGAAAGCCACGGCUAACUACGUG
Molecule: ribosomal RNA, 497 nt
Filed under: uncultured bacterium
Lineage: Bacteria
Description: partial 16S ribosomal RNA
Rfam family: Bacterial small subunit ribosomal RNA
Source: RNAcentral